AGCGAACGCUGGCGGCAGGCCUAACACAUGCAAGUCGAACGAACCUUUCGGGGUUAGUGGCGGACGGGUGAGUAACACGUGGGAACGUGCCUUUAGGUUUGGAAUAACUCAGGGAAACUUGUGCUAAUACCGAAUGUGACCUUCCGGGGAAAGAGUUAUCGCCUUUAGAGCGGCCCGGGUCGGCUUAGCUAGUUGGUUGAGGUAAUGGCUCACCAAGGCUACGAUCAGUAGCUGGUCUGAGAGGAUGAUCAGCCACCUUGGGACUGAGACACGGCCCAAACUCCUACGGGAGGCAGCAGUGGGGAAUCUUGCGAAAUGGGCGAAAGGCUGACGCAGCCAUGCCGCGUGAAUAAUGAAGGUCUUAGGAUUGUAAAAUUCUUUCACCGGGGACGAUAAUGACGGUACCCGGAGAAGAAGCCCCGGCUAACUUCGUG
RNAcentral lists this ribosomal RNA (434 nucleotides) under uncultured bacterium. RNAcentral's name for it is "partial 16S ribosomal RNA". It matches the Rfam family "Bacterial small subunit ribosomal RNA", at positions 29 to 507 of the family's 1533-position model. The record is from RNAcentral.